Molecule: long non-coding RNA, 822 nt
Organism: Nyctereutes procyonoides (raccoon dog)
Lineage: Eukaryota; Metazoa; Chordata; Mammalia; Carnivora; Canidae
Exons: 2
Source: RefSeq, a predicted model, not a curated record
GCCAAACCUGGAGCCGGGUGCAAGGUCUCCCCAGCUGCGCGCCGCUCCUUGGAGCGAAGCGUCUUUGCCAUUGAGCGCUUCGCCUCAGCGUCACCUGCGAGGCAGGUCUCCCCUCCGUGCCUCGUCUCACCUAGACCCUCAGGACUGUCAGGUCGCACCAUUUUAAUUUCCUUCCGUAGUGUAGAAAUAUUUCUCUCGUCUGGUCCCUUUCCUCCCCCCACCCCCCGCCUUCCGCUGUAGAACUGUAUAAAAUGUCUAGAUAUGGAGAGAAGCUGCAUUUUCCUUUUUAAAACAAAUAGCUAAUGAACUCGAACUGGGCAAAAAGACCUUCCAGAGUGCCUGGGUGGCUCAGCUGGUUAAGCAUCUGCCUGGGGCUCUUGGGCUCAGGUCGUGAUCCCGGGGUCCCCAAUGGAGCCACAUCAGGCUCCCUGCCCAGUGGAGGGCCUGCUUCUCCCCUUCUCCCCUCUGCCCCUCCCCUCAUCUCCCCUCCCCCCCCGCCCCGCCUCCCGCCCCGGCUUAUUCUCUCUCUCUCUCUCUCUCUCAAAAAUACGUAAGAUCUUUUUAAAAAAAUAAAAAGACCUCGAACUUUGCCAGAAACAGCAAUUGUUUUAGGAGCAGUUGUUCAUAGAGUCGACGGGGGCCGGCGUCUGACCGGGAACACUGUCAGCGUGGACUUCUCGAAGACAGUAAUCAGUGCAUACCAUGGGUGGUUUCCUUCGUUAGCAACGGUGACACAUUUUUCUGGUGGCUGCUGGAAUCUCUGCUGCCCGGAUUGCAAUUCUGAUGAGACCCCAAAUAAAGAGACGCCUUUGUUCUUGUUCA